GUAAUGAGGAUUUAUUUCCAUUUUAUCACUUCUGUCACGUCUGCUUUUUCCCCUCUGCGUUAUUUUAUUAUUAUGGCUGAAAUUGAUUGCCAUAACCGAGCAGGCCGCUAAAUCCCAUCCUUUCAUCCUCCCUCCCUCCAGCUCCCUUGAGCCCUUUCCUCUCAACCUUGUCUCUUUCUGCUCAGCAUCCUUUCCCUGGGCCGCCUCCUCCUGCUGUGGUAUGUUAACGGGAAAGAAAAACUCAUUUGAAACAAUUUACGAGGUGACUCAGCAAUCUGUGUUCUCCUAAUGGUGGGGCCAGCCUGGAGGCCAAAGCAGCCACCAGUUUGGGUGCUCUGUGAUGAGGCAGGAUCUCCUCAUCCUACUGUCUACAGAACUGCUUUCUGGAGUAGCUCCUGUUCCUGGAGAUGAGAGAAGAUGAGGGAGGGCCCUGAGAAGGCUCCAACACAGGAAAGAGGGUUCCCGAUGGGGCAAGCCCCAGCUGGUUUUAGAAAGAUGUCGCUUCAGGGCCUGGGAAAAUUGCCCAUUCAGAGUGAGUUGGACCCUGGAUGACUGCUGAGUCGGCUCUCUCCGUGUUGUGAGAACUUUGAAAAUGUGCUCGUCUAUAUUUCCUGUAUCUUGGAAGCCUGAGCCUCCAAGUGCAGCCUUAGAGAAUGAGAAACCACUGUGGUUUUUGGUUGGCAGCAAGAAGGCCCCUCAACCCCAGGAAAGGAAAGGAAGGACUUAAUGUUUCUUAACUCCAUAAAUCUGGCUUCAUUAUUAAAUCACUGCAACCUGAUUCAGGUGUAUUUUGUGAAACUACUGGAGGCUGCUUCUCUGGCUCCCAAGCCAUCAAAAGAGAUGCCCAGGGCCCUCUAGGUAGACCAGAGCUCAUGGGAAAAGAGAAGAGAUCUUCAGAAAGAAGUCAAGGGGUUGACUAGGAGAAAGCUAUUGGCAUCCUGCAGGCCUGGGUUUGAAUCCUGGUUCUGCCACCUUUUAGCUAUAGAAGAUUCCACCUACCGGAGAGCUCAAAGUUGGGCGAAGGUACAUGAAAUCAGAAUUCAUCCUACUGUUCCAGUAAGAUGUCACAUCCAAUAUCUCACCACUGACGCUUCAAGAACAGAUGAGAUGGGCUCUGACGGCCAAAACAGCUUGCAAGGACCACCUGGCUUGCUGUCCUCUACACUCUGACUAAGGAUAAGAAGUCACGAGUCUUAUCCUUAUCUUUGCAUCCUCCCCAACCCCACCUCUCUUUGACUCUAGGGUCCAUCGUUCCUAUUAAUGUGACCUCUCCUGGCACUGAUAUAAGAUUUUCUUAACUUAUUCUCCUGGGAAUUUCUCUUAACCCAAUAUGCUUCUCAAUUUAACUCAACUCACGUGACCCUUGACCUUUUUCUACCCAUAUCUUCUUUCUGUGGCAAAUUCCAAGACCCAGCUGAAAUAUGUUCUUCUCUAUAAGACCUUCCCUAUUUCCUCCAGGUCAAUUUAAAUGUUCUCACGGCACGCUUUCAAAGUCCAUUCUUACCAAAGUACUUUGUAGUUUAGAAGUUUAUAUAUGUUUCCAUCUAUUGCCAGACUAGGAAAUUGUCCCUGUAGAUUUCAGCACUAGGUGCAUAGCUGGAC
RNAcentral lists this long non-coding RNA (1602 nucleotides) under Equus caballus (horse). RNAcentral's name for it is "lncRNA (ENSECAG00000056748.1)". The record is from RNAcentral. Lineage: Eukaryota; Metazoa; Chordata; Mammalia; Perissodactyla; Equidae.